GGGUCUGAUCCAUGCAGGAAAUCCUGACCGAUAAUCAAGAUAUAAAGGUUAAAUUCCUUUCAUGCCCU
This 68-nucleotide transfer RNA is filed under the name Benthodytes marianensis. Its description in RNAcentral is "tRNA-Ile". The record is from RNAcentral. Lineage: Eukaryota; Metazoa; Echinodermata; Holothuroidea; Elasipodida; Psychropotidae. RNAcentral also lists the same sequence under 2 other names.